This 497-nucleotide ribosomal RNA is filed under the name uncultured bacterium. Its description in RNAcentral is "partial 16S ribosomal RNA". It matches the Rfam family "Bacterial small subunit ribosomal RNA", at positions 28 to 507 of the family's 1533-position model. The record is from RNAcentral.
GAUGAACGCUGGCGGCGUGCCUAAUACAUGCAAGUCGAACGCUGAAGCUUGGUGCUUGCACCGAGCGGAUGAGUUGCGAACGGGUGAGUAACGCGUAGGUAACCUGCCUCUUAGCGGGGGAUAACUAUUGGAAACGAUAGCUAAUACCGCAUAAAAGUCGAUAUCGCAUGAUAUUGAUUUGAAAGGUGCAACUGCAUCACUAAGAGAUGGACCUGCGUUGUAUUAGCUAGUUGGUGAGGUAACGGCUCACCAAGGCGACGAUACAUAGCCGACCUGAGAGGGGGAACGGCCCCGCUGGGACUGGGACACGGCCCAGAAUCCGACGGGAGGCAGCAGUAGGGAAUCUUCGGCAAUAGGGGCAACCCUGACCGGGCAACGCCGGGAGAGUGAAGAAGGGUUUCGGAUCGGAAAGAUCAGUUGUUAGAGAAGAACGAGUGUGAGAGUGGAAAGUUCACAAUGUGACGGUAACUUACCAGAAAGGGACGGCUAACUACGUG